GACAAACGCUGGCGGCGUGCCUAAUACAUGCAAGUAGAACGCUGAAGAGAGGAGCUUACUCUUCUUGGAUGAGUUGCGAACGGGGGAGUAACGCGUAGGUAACCUGCCUUGUAGCGGGGGAUAACUAUUGGAAACGAUAGCUAAAACCGCAUAACAAUGGCAGACACAUGGCAUGUAUUUGAAAGGGGCAAUUGCUCCACGACAGGACGGACCUGCGUUGUAUUAGGUAGUAGGUGAGGUAAUGGCUCACCUAGGCGACGAUACAUAGCCGACCUGCGACGGUGACCCGCCACCCCGGGACUGAGGCCCCGCCCCGACUCCCACCGGCAGCCGCAGUAGGGAAACUUCGCCCAUUGGGGCCAACCUUACCGAGCCACGCCGCCUGAGUGAAGAAGGUUUUCCGAUCGUAAAACUCUGUUGUACGUCAAGAACGGGUGUGAGAUUGGAACGUUCACACUGUGACGGUAGCUUACCAGAAAGCGACGGCUAACUACGUG
This 497-nucleotide ribosomal RNA is filed under the name uncultured bacterium. Its description in RNAcentral is "partial 16S ribosomal RNA". It matches the Rfam family "Bacterial small subunit ribosomal RNA", at positions 28 to 507 of the family's 1533-position model. The record is from RNAcentral.